GGUGGAUAUAUGGGCAGGUCUUCUAAACUUGUUUAGAGCUAAUAACUCGUCCACUU
Molecule: transfer RNA, 56 nt
Filed under: Strongyloides vituli
Lineage: Eukaryota; Metazoa; Nematoda; Chromadorea; Rhabditida; Strongyloididae
Description: tRNA-Ser
Source: RNAcentral